Hyaena hyaena (striped hyena) is the source of this 104-nucleotide small nuclear RNA. The record is from RefSeq and is a predicted model, not a curated record. NCBI's taxonomy places the organism in Eukaryota, Metazoa, Chordata, Mammalia, Carnivora, Hyaenidae.
GUGCUCACUUCGGCAGCACAUAUGCUAAAAUUAGAAGGAGACAGAGAAGGUUAGCAUGGCCCCUGUGGGAGGGUGACAUGCUAAGUAAGGUUCAGUAGGUAAAG